RNAcentral lists this ribosomal RNA (439 nucleotides) under uncultured bacterium. Its description in RNAcentral is "partial 16S ribosomal RNA". It matches the Rfam family "Bacterial small subunit ribosomal RNA", at positions 339 to 795 of the family's 1533-position model. The record is from RNAcentral.
CUACGGGAGGCUCCAGUGAGGAAUAUUGCACAAUGGGGGGAACCCUGAUGCAGCAACGCCGCGUGGAGGAUGACGCAUUUCGGUGUGUAAACUCCUUUUAUAUGUCAAGAAAAUGACGGUAGCAUAUGAAUAAGCACCGGCUAACUCCGUGCCAGCAGCCGCGGUAAUACGGAGGGUGCAAGCGUUACUCGGAAUCACUGGGCGUAAAGGACGCGUAGGCGGGUUGGAAAGUCAGGUAUGAAAUCCUACAGCUUAACUGUAGAACUGCACUUGAAACUUCUAAUCUAGAGUAUGGGAGGGGGAGAUGGAAUUAGUGGUGUAGGGGUAACAUCCGUAGAUAUCACUAGGAAUACCUAAAGCGAAGGCGAUCUCCUGGAACAUUACUGACGCUAAGGCGUGAAAGCGUGGGGAGCAAACAGGAUUAGAUACCCGAGUAGUC